CACUACUGUCUGACUACUGUCACACUCCCUAUGUAAUUACGGAGUGUGACAGUAGUCACUGGCUGACUUCUGACAAUCUUUCUUUUUCAUGACCCUCCUCAUGUUCUUUUAUACUUUCUUUUGAAUAAAGCAUGUCAAAGGGUUGGGAAAAAAUAUGCCCACAGGAACACAUAUCCAUAAUAUAUAUCCAAUAAUGUUUUUUUUCUGGUGGGUGAGGUGAGGUUUAUCAAAGGUAAUUAUGUACGCAGGUUUUAAUAUUUCUGUCUUCUUCUUUUUAUUACUCCUUGAUUUUUAAGUUCCACAGCAAUAUCAACUUCUACAUCAUCUAAUUCUCAGGUACGGAUUACUGCUUUACAGUAAUUAAGAGAAGGAUGAGGAAGAAUCUUAAUUUAAAGACCAGCCCAUAAAUUUGCAUGAGAAGUACUACAGAUAAAAGGAGU
Molecule: long non-coding RNA, 440 nt
Organism: Tachysurus fulvidraco (yellow catfish)
Lineage: Eukaryota; Metazoa; Chordata; Actinopteri; Siluriformes; Bagridae
Exons: 2
Source: RefSeq, a predicted model, not a curated record